RNAcentral lists this transfer RNA (75 nucleotides) under Pyrinomonadaceae bacterium. Its description in RNAcentral is "tRNA-Val". It matches the Rfam family "tRNA". From Rfam's summary of the family: Transfer RNA (tRNA) molecules are approximately 80 nucleotides in length. Their secondary structure includes four short double-helical elements and three loops (D, anti-codon, and T loops). Lineage: Bacteria; Pseudomonadati; Acidobacteriota; Blastocatellia; Blastocatellales; Pyrinomonadaceae. The record is from RNAcentral.
GGUCGAGUAACUCAGCCCGGCCAGAGUGCCUGUCUUACAAACAGGAAGUCGAAGGUUCGAAUCCUUCCUCGACCA